Molecule: transfer RNA, 69 nt
Filed under: Sphaeridium bipustulatum
Lineage: Eukaryota; Metazoa; Arthropoda; Insecta; Coleoptera; Hydrophilidae
Description: tRNA-Gln
Source: RNAcentral
UACGUUUUAGUAUAUGAAGUAUAAAAAUUUUUGAUAUUUUAGGAAACAGUUUGAUUCUGUUAAAUGUAA